AUACGGGGGGUGCAAGCGUUAAUCGGAAUUACUGGGCGUAAAGCGCGCGUAGGCGGUUUGCUCAGUCGGAUGUGAAAGCCCAGGGCUCAACCUUGGAACUGCAUACGAUACUGGCAGACUAGAGUGUGAGAGAGGAUAGUGGAAUUUCCGGUGUAGCGGUGAAAUGCGUAGAUAUCGGAAGGAACAUCAGUGGCGAAGGCGACUGUCUGGCUCAACACUGACGCUGAGGUGCGAAAGCGUGGGUAGCAAACAGGAUUAGAAACCCUAGUAGUCC
Molecule: ribosomal RNA, 274 nt
Filed under: uncultured bacterium
Lineage: Bacteria
Description: partial 16S ribosomal RNA
Rfam family: Bacterial small subunit ribosomal RNA
Source: RNAcentral